This 484-nucleotide ribosomal RNA is filed under the name uncultured bacterium. RNAcentral describes it as "partial 16S ribosomal RNA". It matches the Rfam family "Bacterial small subunit ribosomal RNA", at positions 30 to 507 of the family's 1533-position model. The record is from RNAcentral.
AUUGAACGCUGGCGGCAGGCCUAACACAUGCAAGUCGAGCGGAUGAAGGGAGCUUUCUCCUGGAUUCAGCGGCGGACGGGUGAGUAAUGCCUAGGAAUCUGCCUGGUAGUGGGGGAUAACGUCCGGAAACGGGCGCUAAUACCGCAUACGUCCUGAGCGAGAAAGUGGGGGAUCUUCGGACCUCACGCUAUCAGAUGAGCCUAGGUCGGAUUAGCUAGUUGGUGGGGUAAAGGCCUACCAAGGCGACGAUGCGUAACUGGUCUGAGAGGAUGAUCAGUCACACUGGAACUGAGACACGGUCCAGACUCCUACGGGAGGGAGCAGUGGGGAAUAUUGGACAAUGGGCGAAAGCCUGAUUCAGCCAUGCCGCGUGUGUGAAGAAGGUCUUCGGAUUGUAAAGCACUUUAAGUUGGGAGGAAGGGCAGUAAGUUAAUACCUUGCUGUUUUGACGUUACCAACAGAAUAAGCACCGGCUAACUUCGUG